GUGAGGAAUAUUGGUCAAUGGGCGGAAGCCUGAACCAGCCAUCCCGCGUGGAGGAAGACGGCCCUAUGGGUUGUAAACUUCUUUUCAAGGGGAAGAAAGUUCGCGACGUGUCGCGAUUUGCCGGUACCUUUGGAAUAAGCAUCGGCUAACUCCGUGCCAGCAGCCGCGGUAAUACGGAGGAUGCGAGCGUUAUCCGGAUUUAUUGGGUUUAAAGGGUGCGUAGGCCGAUCGAUAAGUCAGCGGUGAAAUACCAUGGCCCAACCAUGGAACUGCCGUUGAUACUGUCGGUCGUGAAUAUGGUCAAGGUAGGCGGAAUGUGUAAUGUAGCGGUGAAAUGCUUAGAUAUUACACAGAACACCGAUUGCGAAGGCAGCUUACUGGUCCAUUAUUGACGCUGAGGCACGAAAGCGUGGGGAUCGAACAGGAUUAGAAACCCGGGUAGUCC
This 445-nucleotide ribosomal RNA is filed under the name uncultured bacterium. RNAcentral describes it as "partial 16S ribosomal RNA". It matches the Rfam family "Bacterial small subunit ribosomal RNA", at positions 354 to 796 of the family's 1533-position model. The record is from RNAcentral.